This is a non-coding RNA of Plectropomus leopardus (leopard coralgrouper), 702 nucleotides long. The record is from RefSeq and is a predicted model, not a curated record. Lineage: Eukaryota; Metazoa; Chordata; Actinopteri; Perciformes; Serranidae.
GUACAGUUGGUUUUUACUGUAGUGACAUCUGCUGGUCACAUCUGAAUCCAGUCAGCAAGCAAAGUCUUUGGUGUGACUGUUGUUUUUGUUUUGUUUUGUUGUCUUUGUUUUUUAAGCAAACAGUAAAAUUUGAAGUCUUGUAUGAAGAAAACAAAAUGCAGCGUCAAAAAUGCCAAUAUACACAACACAAUAGAAUAGAACAGAAUAUGUCUUUGUUAUUGUACAAGUACAGCGAAAUUGAAAAUUCAAUCCUCACAGUGUAAAAACUAUUUACUACUGAAAAGGUUAAAAAAAACAAAAACUACUAAACACAUACUUUAAAAGAAGUAUGAAAUAAAUAAAUAAACAAAACAAAUAAUUAGCAGCCUCAAACGGGAGACACAUUACACAUACACAUUCACAUUCUGCAGGCAUUGCAGAAUGUGAAUGUGAAUGUGUGUGCUGCACCACAGCGGGAUAGUUUCUGGACAGUGUGGGGUGAGUGUGUCUGAGCACAAAGGUCACUGAACCUAAUGUGUUAUUUUGUUGAAUUAUUAAGGAUUCAUUGUCUGCUUCUGCAGGUUAUCUGGACCAUUGCUCACAGACUCAUCUGAAUGUUGAGGGAAUUGUUGUGAUAAGGAUCUAUAAGACAUAUCUGUGGUCGGUCAUUGGAUGUCCUGGGACUUCUCUCUCCUCCCUGGUUCUCUGUUCCACAUUUCAGAU